UAAAACUGCGAAUGGCUCAUUAAAUCAGUUAUAACAGACACGAGAAAUUCUAAAUGGAUAACCAUUGUGACCGAAGGCUAAUACAUGCUAAACGGCCUGACUUCGCGGAAAGGCUGCAUUUAUUAGAUAUAAACCAGCACCCUUACCGGUGUUGUGAUGACUCAUAAUAACUAAGCGAAUCGCAGCUCAUGCUGCGAUAUCUCGAUUAGGUUACUGCCCCAUUCAGCUUCGAUGGUAGUGUAUUGGACUACCAUGGCAUUGAAGGGUAACGGGGAAUUAGGGUUCGAUUCCGGAGAGGGAGCUUGAGAAACGGCUACCACCCCUCAGGGAGGCAGCAGGCGCGUAAAUUACCCAAUCCUGAUUCAGGGAGGUAGUGACUAGAUAUAACA
RNAcentral lists this ribosomal RNA (389 nucleotides) under uncultured eukaryote. RNAcentral's name for it is "bacterial SSU rRNA". It matches the Rfam family "Eukaryotic small subunit ribosomal RNA", at positions 82 to 482 of the family's 1831-position model. The record is from RNAcentral.